GGGCCGUUAGCUCAGAUGGUAGAGCAGCUGACUCUUAAUCAGCGGGUCGAAGGUUCGAGUCCUUCACGGCCCACCA
This 76-nucleotide transfer RNA is filed under the name Magnetococcales bacterium. RNAcentral describes it as "tRNA-Lys". It matches the Rfam family "tRNA". Rfam says of the family: Transfer RNA (tRNA) molecules are approximately 80 nucleotides in length. The record is from RNAcentral. Lineage: Bacteria; Pseudomonadati; Pseudomonadota; Magnetococcia; Magnetococcales.